This is a long non-coding RNA of Coregonus clupeaformis (lake whitefish), 1123 nucleotides long. RefSeq lists it as uncharacterized. NCBI's taxonomy places the organism in Eukaryota, Metazoa, Chordata, Actinopteri, Salmoniformes, Salmonidae. The record is from RefSeq and is a predicted model, not a curated record. The transcript has 3 exons.
UUCUAAACGAAACACUGCAUAGUCGUCGUCUACGAGUUUACAGAUCUCUGCAACUGCUGUAUUCGCUAGAACCUCCAUAAUGGAGGCCAUUUGAGUGUGAAAACCCAUAGCCAUUGUUGUUAGCUAGCUAACGUUAGAAGCUAACUAGCGUUACCUAAAUAACGUAACAUCUAUCAACCAAGUCCUGUCUUCAACGCGAAUUAAAGACAGCCGGGGGGUGGAGCAGGAGUAAGAUCACUAGAAAGCAGCAUGCUGCCAGACCACCACAGGACCCGAGAGGCCUCUGCAUGCUGUGACAAGGGCCUGGAUGGUGACAUAUGCUUCAAGCUACCUGACUGAAUACUGGGGCCUUCAGCGGUACCUUCCCUUUGAUUACAGCAAGAGUUUCCUUAUGUCUCGUAGCCAUUUAACAUGUACUGUAUGUGACCACUCAAAUUCUUACAAACCGCUACGAACACAAGAACAGACUUAUAUUCACUUGUCCCUGGCUGCGUUUACAGGCAGCCCAAUUCUGAUAUUUUUUCCACUAAUUGGUCUUUUGACCAAUCCCAGAUCUUUUCACAUCAGAUCUUUUUCAGCGCUGAUCUGAUUGGUCAAAAGACCAAUUGUUGAAAAAAAAGAUCAGACUUGGGCUGCCUGUCUGAACAGUCCUAUUCUUCAGGCUUGUCUGGGAUAUAUAUUUUAGUUGGCACACCUGUGUGAUAUCUUUUAUAAAUUAAUAAUAAUUUAUUCACCCUGGAUAUGAGAGUUGCAUUGAUUUGAGACCUUUUGGAAUCAGAAGCGCCAAGUGUUGUCUUGAUGGAGAACGUCUGUAUGUUGUCAGAUGUUUAAGUUACCAUAGUAGUUAGUAAAAAUUAGAAGAACAGGCUGAAACAGUUAUGGUUUUUUAACCUAUUAAAAAAUGAACAUGAGUAGUUUAUACAAAAGUUUAUUGCAUUUCGUGGUCAUCCCACAAAUUGGACAAUUUUAAAGCCUUGAUAGUUGCAUCCUUCCUCAGGGAACUGUCUGCUGAUAGCUGACAACAUGGUGGCAGGUUUUUUGAUGUGCUGCUCUAGAGUUCCCAGCAGACUCACCUGGGAAUAGGGGGAUGGACAGAGUGUGCAAAGCUGUCAUCAAGGCAAAG